GCCCCCAUCGUCUAGAGGCCUAGGACACGAGCUUUUCAAGCUCGGUACACCGGUUCGAAUCCGGUUGGGGGCACUA
This 76-nucleotide transfer RNA is filed under the name Ignavibacteria bacterium GWA2_55_11. RNAcentral describes it as "tRNA-Glu". It matches the Rfam family "tRNA". Rfam says of the family: Transfer RNA (tRNA) molecules are approximately 80 nucleotides in length. Their secondary structure includes four short double-helical elements and three loops (D, anti-codon, and T loops). The record is from RNAcentral. RNAcentral also lists the same sequence under 3 other names. Lineage: Bacteria; Pseudomonadati; Ignavibacteriota; Ignavibacteria.